RNAcentral lists this ribosomal RNA (253 nucleotides) under uncultured bacterium. Its description in RNAcentral is "partial 16S ribosomal RNA". It matches the Rfam family "Bacterial small subunit ribosomal RNA", at positions 524 to 776 of the family's 1533-position model. The record is from RNAcentral.
UACGUAGGGGGCUAGCGUUGUCCGGAAUCAUUGGGCGUAAAGCGCGUGUAGGCGGCCCGAUAAGUCCGCUGUGAAAGUCCAGGGCUCAACCCUGGGAUGCCGGUGGAUACUGUCGGGCUCGAGUCCGGAAGAGGAGAGUGGAAUUCCCGGUGUAGCGGUGAAAUGCGCAGAUAUCGGGAAGAACACCCGUGGCGAAGGCGGCUCUCUGGGACGGUACUGACGCUGAGACGCGAAAGCGUGGGGAGCGAACAGG